UGUGGCUGAGGACCCCGGCGGCAGACGCAGGUUCGGGACCAUGAGCUGGAUUCCUUUUAAGAUUGGGCAGCCCAAGAAACAGAUUGUGCCCAAAACAGUGGAGAGAGACUUUGAAAGGGAGUAUGGAAAACUUCAGCAGUGAGUGUCAACCCCAGAAAGAUGAGGUGGGAGGCAGGGAGGGACAAGGGCCCCCUGCCAGGUCUCACCUGUCUGCCCCGUGCCCUGCCCCGUGAGCACCCUGGAAGCUGAGGGCAGCUCAGGUCACCAGGCUGCUGGAACUGUUCCCUGGCAAUGGCCAUGUGAGAGUCAUUCACUCAUAGCCUUUGGGUGUAGUGGCACUUCAGUCAGCGGGAAAAGUCCCCGUGGAGAAGAUCCCUUUCUCCUCCUCCUUGGCAGGCCCUCCAGAGCACCUGGGCUUCGCUCAGGUAGGGGGAAGGAAGGGGACCCCAAGCAGCCCGUCCCCUGCCUUG
This 470-nucleotide long non-coding RNA is filed under the name Homo sapiens (human). RNAcentral's name for it is "non-protein coding lnc-EGR3-4:1". The record is from RNAcentral. Lineage: Eukaryota; Metazoa; Chordata; Mammalia; Primates; Hominidae.